RNAcentral lists this non-coding RNA (80 nucleotides) under Streptomyces kanasensis. Lineage: Bacteria; Bacillati; Actinomycetota; Actinomycetes; Kitasatosporales; Streptomycetaceae. The record is from RNAcentral.
AGAGGAAGCCCGGUGCGAAUCCGGCGCGGUCCCGCCACUGUGACCGUCCCGCGCACGCGCGGGACGGGAGUCAGGAACUC